UUUCCGUAGGUGAACCUGCGGAAGGAUCAUUGCCACACACGAUCCAAGAUCGACACUUUUAAUGUGAACUGUUUGUGUUUCCAUCCUUAAAAGGGGUGUAUGCGGAAGAGAAAGAUAGGGUUAAACCUUGAUUUCUUUUUUUAUACCUCUCUUUUUCGGAAAAUAUUUUAUUACACCUUAAUUACAAUUGGUUGAUACAUAUAUGGAACAUAAAAUGUUACAACGAGUUCGUCUUGUUGCUAACGAAAAUUAUAAUUAAAAACAACUUUUAACAACGGAUAUCUUGGUUCUU
Molecule: unclassified non-coding RNA, 292 nt
Filed under: plant metagenome
Description: partial contains small subunit ribosomal RNA, internal transcribed spacer 1, and 5.8S ribosomal RNA
Source: RNAcentral